This 505-nucleotide ribosomal RNA is filed under the name uncultured bacterium. RNAcentral describes it as "partial 16S ribosomal RNA". It matches the Rfam family "Bacterial small subunit ribosomal RNA", at positions 28 to 507 of the family's 1533-position model. The record is from RNAcentral.
GACGAACGCUGGCGGCGUGCCUAAUACAUGCAAGUAGAACGCACAGUUUAUACCGUAGCUUGCUACACCAUAAACUGUGAGUUGCGAACGGGUGAGUAACGCGUAGGUAACCUGCCUGGUAGCGGGGGAUAACUAUUGGAAACGAUAGCUAAUACCGCAUAAUAUUAAUUAUUGCAUGAUAAUUGAUUGAAAGAUGCAAUUGCAUCACUACCAGAUGGACCUGCGUUGUAUUAGCUAGUAGGUGAGGUAACGGCUCACCUAGGCGACGAUACAUAGCCGACCUGGGGGGGUGGUCGGCCACACUGGGACUGAGACACGGCCCAGACUCCUACGGGAGGCAGCAGUAGGGAAUCUUCGGCAAUGGACGGAAGUCUGACCGAGCAACGCCGCGUGAGUGAAGAAGGUUUUCGGAUCGUAAAGCUCUGUUGUAAGAGAAGAACGGGUGUGAGAGUGGAAAGUUCACACUGUGACGGUAUCUUACCAGAAAGGGACGGCUAACUACGUG